RNAcentral lists this long non-coding RNA (2526 nucleotides) under Canis lupus familiaris (dog). RNAcentral describes it as "lncRNA (ENSCAFG00000052982.1, ENSCAFG00805000376.1)". Lineage: Eukaryota; Metazoa; Chordata; Mammalia; Carnivora; Canidae. The record is from RNAcentral.
UUUUUUUUUUUGGUGGGGGGUCAGUUAGUAUUGGUACCAUGUAGUGUUCUCCUCCCAGAAGGAUGUGUAUAUAACUUAAAAAAAGAAAUGUAAAGUGUUGUAAAUAAGAUGGUUCAUGAAGGGACGGUGAGAUGCGCCCCCUUCUGUAUUCAGGACCAGGCUGUCCCUCUCUGCGUGGUGAAGAGAGACGCUAUUUUUCUACUGCAGCACCAUGUAGGGCCGGGACCCCGGAGCCAGCUGGCAUUCUUACCGAGAUCCAAUAUUUUUUAUGAUAAAUCUGUGGCUCGACACAUCUACUGAUUGAAAUGGAUGUCUUAGACUAGGUUACUAUUUUUGUCAUAUGGAAAUGAAUAAAAUGCAGGAUGUAAUAUGACUUCUGAAUUGCGUUCCUUGAUUAUUCAAAUGGAAAAUGUGGAAUUUGAGGUUCUGGUCGUUGAUGGUGGACGUACAUCUGUGGUGUUUUCUCCGAGGAAAGUCAACAAGGGUUGACAGCUUAGAUUUAAGCAAUAUCUAAAUGUGUAUCUUGAUUGGUCUUGAAAUUUUUAUUUUUCACUUUUUUUCCUAAAAAAAAAAAAUGCGACCUCCUAAUUGUGACUUUAUUUUUUAAACAUCUGUGAUGGAAGAUGUAGUAGAAGUUGCCUCCUCGUUAGAGACUGCUGGCAGUGUCCAAAAAUGACCACACUCUGAAUUGCCUUCCCAACGUCAACGUGAAGUGAGAAUAAUCUUGGCUCUUGGGAAAUAAAUCGUGUGCACCGAGUCCUGGUCCGGGCAGGCGCAGGAGGGGAGGUGCUGCUCGAGCCCCGCACUGUGCAGCAGCCACUGGUACCUCCCGGCCCUUUGCUCUGGAUGGAGGAUGUCUUUACUGUAGAAGAAGCUUUCCCUCACCAGUAACAUUUGAUAAGACAUAAAACUUUAAAUAAUUUAAUAGCUCCUGGAUUUCAGCAUAUCCGAUCCGUUUCUUUUUUCAAUAGCAACCGACACCUGGAGGCCGCGGCGAUCGGUGCCUGGGAAGCCGCGGGCGCUCGUGAACUCCCUGCCCGGCUGAUCGGCGGGCACAGGUCAUAAACCACAGGCGCUAAGCCGUGCUGGCUUCGGUGCUAGAGGGGAAAUCAGUAGACACGAGCCGACCGAGUCAGACCGUAAAUUCAAUCUGUUUUUUAAAAUGGUGAGGAGAUAAAGGCUCUUACCGUUUAAAAUAACACAAAUUGAAAUGCAGGGGGAAAACGAGACCUACUUAUUUCAAAAACAUUUCCAAUGUCAAAAACCAGGGCUGUUUCAGCUUAACAAGCAUGGAUAUUUACUUCUUCCUGGCAUCAACUCUAUUUUGCUCAGACCAUGCAUCAAAGAAUCAUAAAUGCCAACAAUCUCUAAAAAAUAUUUAUUUAAAUAUAUUUCUAUUCUGAGUUCUUUACAGGAACCAUUAACAUUUAAAACUAAUUAAAAAGUAUUGCUGAAGGGCUAAAAAGCAAUUGGUUUUAAACUCCACACUGUUUGGUUCUAUCCCCGUGGAGUCAGUGGGUCCCCCUGCCUGCUUCUCCUCCGUGCCCGGCAGAUGCUGCCCACCCACGGCACACAUUGGGGCUGCCUCUCUGUUGGUGUCCGGCCCAGACACCUCCGAGGCCUGUGUUUCUUUAGACUGCUAAUGCCACAGAGGCCCAGGGCCCCGGCUUCUCUUCCCAAGCAUGCUUACCACGGAGCAAUCCGUCACAUGCGUGGGACUCCAUGUUCAGCGUGCAGCUGGUGGCUCCGUGUCCAGCAUGUGGCCGGCCUGUGGGCCUUGGGUUUCCAUCUUUUGUGUUAAACUCCUGGGUUCGUUUGCUGAUCACUGGUGCUGAAGUAGAAGCGGCCUCUGGCACCGUGCCCCGAAGAGAAGCAGGCCGUGAACCGGUUCUGCGAGCGGGGCUGUCAGCUGGUUUGUCCACUGUGUUAAGCUUCAUCUGUAGAAUAUUCUAUACAAAGCUAGGGAAAUAGCUAUCGUCCCUUUACUUUGGCACAUACUGGGCACAUACUGUUGGCAUCCUUCAGGAAGGGAGCCCCUCAGUGCCACCACCAGAGACAGCUCUGCCUGCACUCCUGCUCCCAAGUUCCCAGGCUCGGGUGUCGGCGUCCCCUGCGCCGUCCUGCCAGCGAGCUCUGCGGGUCACGGCCAAGGCGCUGGGUGGACGGGCUCUGCUCCCCGACCUACAGGAAUGGCAUUAAUAUCCUUGCCAAUUCUAAAAUCCAGGGUAGUUUGUCUUUCUUUUUUUUUUUUUGAAAGAACUGUCACUAAUGUAUACCUACCCUUUUCCUCCCAAAAUUCACUAGACAAAUUGACAGUAUUUAUAUAUAUAGAAAAUACAAAUGAUUACUUAAGAAUAUAAAUAUGAAAACUCUAUUACAAAUGACUUUGCGAAAGAAAAAUCUGUGGAAUCAUUUUUGGACCGUGAGUAAAAAUGUGUUGGUAUCUCUGAUUAUUUUAAAUCGUGGAAUUUAUUUGAAGCUUUUAAAAAUGCAAUUCUAUUUAAGGUAAAAUAAAAGAAGCUCUGU